GACGAACGCUGGCGGCGUGCUUAACACAUGCAAGUCGAACGGAAAGGCCCUGCUUUUGUGGGGUGCUCGAUUGGCGAACGGGUGAGUAACACGUGAGUAACCUGCCCUUGACUUUGGGAUAACUUCAGGAAACUGGGGCUAAUACCGGAUAGGAUCUCCUGCUGCAUGUUGGGGGUUGGAAAGUUUCGGCGGUUGGGGAUGGACUCGCGGCUUAUCAGCUUGUUGGUGGGGUAGUGGCUUACCAAGGCUUUGACGGGUAGCCGGCCUGAGAGGGUGACCGGCCACAUUGGGACUGCGAUACGGAGCAGACUCCUACGGGAGGCAGCAGUGGGGAAUAUUGCACAAUGGGCGGAAGCGUGAUGCAGCAACGCCGCGUGCGGGAUGACGGCCUUCGGGUUGUAAACCGCUUUCGCCUGUGACGAAGCGUGAGUGACGGUAAUGGGUAAAGAAGCACCGGCUAACUACGUG
RNAcentral lists this ribosomal RNA (468 nucleotides) under uncultured bacterium. RNAcentral's name for it is "partial 16S ribosomal RNA". It matches the Rfam family "Bacterial small subunit ribosomal RNA", at positions 28 to 507 of the family's 1533-position model. The record is from RNAcentral.